Molecule: ribosomal RNA, 400 nt
Filed under: uncultured bacterium
Lineage: Bacteria
Description: bacterial SSU rRNA
Rfam family: Bacterial small subunit ribosomal RNA
Source: RNAcentral
GGGGAAUCUUAGACAAUGGGGGAAACCCUGAUCUAGCCAUGCCGCGUGAUCGAUGAAGGCCUUAGGGUUGUAAAGAUCUUUCAGUGGGGAAGACAAUGACUGUACCCACAGAAAAAGCCCCGGCUAACUCCGUGCCAGCAGCCGCGGUAAUACGGAGGGGGCUAGCGUUGUUCGGAAUUACUGGGCGUAAAGCGCACGUAGGCGGAUCAGAAAGUCAGAGGUGAAAUCCCAGGGCUCAACCUUGGAACUGCCUUUGAAACUCCUGAUCUUGAGGUCGAGAGAGGUGAGUGGAAUUCCGAGUGUAGAGGUGAAAUUCGUAGAUAUUCGGAGGAACACCAGUGGCGAAGGCGGCUCACUGGCUCGAGACUGACGCUGAGGUGCGAAAGCGUGGGGAGCAAAC